GACGAACGCUGGCGGCGUGCUUAACACAUGCAAGUCGAACGGAAAGGCCCUGCUUUUGUGGGGUGCUCGAGUGGCGAACGGGUGAGUAACACGUGAGUAACCUGCCCUUGACUUUGGGAUAACUUCAGGAAACUGGGGCUAAUACCGGAUAGGAGCUCCUGCUGCAUGGUGGGGGUUGGAAAGUUUCGGCGGUUGGGGAUGGACUCGCGGCGUAUCAGCUUGUUGGUGGGGUAGUGGCUUACCAAGGCUUUGACGGGUAGCCGGCCUGAGAGGGGGACCGGCCACACUGGGACUGAGAUACGGCCCAGACUCCUACGGGAGGCAGCAGUGGGGAAUAUUGCACAAUGGGCGGAAGCCUGAUGCAGCAACGCCGCGUGCGGGAUGACGGCCUUCGGGUUGUAAACCGCUUUCGCCUGUGACGAAGCGUGAGUGACGGUAAUGGGUAAAGAAGCACCGGCUAACUACGUG
RNAcentral lists this ribosomal RNA (468 nucleotides) under uncultured bacterium. RNAcentral describes it as "partial 16S ribosomal RNA". It matches the Rfam family "Bacterial small subunit ribosomal RNA", at positions 28 to 507 of the family's 1533-position model. The record is from RNAcentral.